Molecule: ribosomal RNA, 839 nt
Filed under: Cistella albidolutea
Lineage: Eukaryota; Fungi; Ascomycota; Leotiomycetes; Helotiales
Description: eukaryotic LSU rRNA
Rfam family: Eukaryotic large subunit ribosomal RNA
Source: RNAcentral
AAAAGCUCAAAUUUGAAAUCUGGCUCUUUCAGGGUCCGAGUUGUAAUUUGUAGAAGAUGCUUUGGGUGUGGCUCCGGUCUAAGUUCCUUGGAACAGGACGUCAUAGAGGGUGAGAAUCCCGUAUGUGAUCGGUGGCCUUCGCCCGUGUAAAGCUCUUUCGACGAGUCGAGUUGUUUGGGAAUGCAGCUCAAAAUGGGUGGUAUAUUUCAUCUAAAGCUAAAUAUUGGCCAGAGACCGAUAGCGCACAAGUAGAGUGAUCGAAAGAUGAAAAGCACUUUGGAAAGAGAGUUAAACAGUACGUGAAAUUGUUGAAAGGGAAGCGCUUGCAAUCAGACUUGCAUGUAGUUGAUCAUCUAGUGUUCUCACUGGUGCACUCUGCUAUAUUCAGGCCAGCAUCGGUUUCGGUGGUUGGAUAAAGGCCUUGGGAACGUAGCUCCUCUCGGGGAGUGUUAUAGCCCUCGGUGCAAUGCAGCCUACCGGGACCGAGGACCGCGCUUCGGCUAGGAUGCUGGCGUAAUGGUUGUAAGCGACCCGUCUUGAAACACGGACCAAGGAGUCUAACAUCUAUGCGAGUGUUUGGGUGUUAAACCCAUACGCGUAAUGAAAGUGAACGGAGGUGAGAACCCUUUAGGGUGCAUCAUCGACCGAUCCUGAUGUCUUCGGAUGGAUUUGAGUAAGAGCAUAGCUGUUGGGACCCGAAAGAUGGUGAACUAUGCGUGAAUAGGGUGAAGCCAGAGGAAACUCUGGUGGAGGCUCGCAGCGGUUCUGACGUGCAAAUCGAUCGUCAAAUUUGCGCAUAGGGGCGAAAGACUAAUCGAACCAUCUAGUAGCUGGUCUGC